RNAcentral lists this ribosomal RNA (387 nucleotides) under uncultured bacterium. Its description in RNAcentral is "bacterial SSU rRNA". It matches the Rfam family "Bacterial small subunit ribosomal RNA", at positions 29 to 417 of the family's 1533-position model. The record is from RNAcentral.
AUUAAACGCUGGCGGCAUGCCUUACACAUGCAAGUCGAACGGCAGCACGGGGGCAACCCUGGUGGCGAGUGGCGAACGGGUGAGUAAAGCAUCGGAACGUGCCCUGGAGUGGGGGAUAACGUAGCGAAAGUUACGCUAAUACCGCAUAUUCUGUGAGCAGGAAAGCAGGGGAUCGCAAGACCUUGCGCUCUGGGAGCGGCCGAUGUCGGAUUAGCUAGUUGGUGGGGUAAAGGCCUACCAAGGCGACGAUCCGUAGCGGGUCUGAGAGGAUGAUCCGCCACACUGGGACUGAGACACGGCCCAGACUCCUACGGGAGGCAGCAGUGGGGAAUUUUGGACAAUGGGCGAAAUCCUGAUCCAGCCAUGCCGCGUGAGUGAAGAAGGCCU